This 492-nucleotide ribosomal RNA is filed under the name Salmonella enterica. RNAcentral describes it as "bacterial SSU rRNA". It matches the Rfam family "Bacterial small subunit ribosomal RNA", at positions 1 to 482 of the family's 1533-position model. Lineage: Bacteria; Pseudomonadati; Pseudomonadota; Gammaproteobacteria; Enterobacterales; Enterobacteriaceae. The record is from RNAcentral. RNAcentral also lists the same sequence under 3 other names.
AAAUUGAAGAGUUUGAUCAUGGCUCAGAUUGAACGCUGGCGGCAGGCCUAACACAUGCAAGUCGAACGGUAACAGGAAGCAGCUUGCUGCUUCGCUGACGAGUGGCGGACGGGUGAGUAAUGUCUGGGAAACUGCCUGAUGGAGGGGGAUAACUACUGGAAACGGUGGCUAAUACCGCAUAACGUCGCAAGACCAAAGAGGGGGACCUUCGGGCCUCUUGCCAUCAGAUGUGCCCAGAUGGGAUUAGCUUGUUGGUGAGGUAACGGCUCACCAAGGCGACGAUCCCUAGCUGGUCUGAGAGGAUGACCAGCCACACUGGAACUGAGACACGGUCCAGACUCCUACGGGAGGCAGCAGUGGGGAAUAUUGCACAAUGGGCGCAAGCCUGAUGCAGCCAUGCCGCGUGUAUGAAGAAGGCCUUCGGGUUGUAAAGUACUUUCAGCGGGGAGGAAGGUGUUGUGGUUAAUAACCGCAGCAAUUGACGUUACCCGC